Hyposmocoma kahamanoa is the source of this 665-nucleotide long non-coding RNA. RefSeq lists it as uncharacterized. The record is from RefSeq and is a predicted model, not a curated record. Lineage: Eukaryota; Metazoa; Arthropoda; Insecta; Lepidoptera; Cosmopterigidae. The transcript is spliced from 3 exons.
UCUGUUGCAAUUUACACAAGGGUCCAAUGUAAUCUGACCUCUCCGCCCCCUGAAGUUCCGCCGAUUGAGCUCCAGGUGGAUUAUUACAGCUGUAACAAAGCCACUAUGGACGCGAUAGGACGGCGAGCGACCGGCCAGAAAGAAGCCAGCUCCGUCUUUGCUGGAGUUCGAAUCGCACAGAGAUUCGGCUUGAGGGAGACUUCGCUCGGCGUUGAUCGCGCAUACGAUCAGCACGCCUUUGGUGCGAAUGUGCGGUUACUUUAAAAGUGGAAGGCGCCGCGAUAGAUACCAAAAAGUGGGCUAAGGUGAAUCAUAAUGAGAGGAAUAGGAUAUUGUAUGGAAUGAUAUUUGCCAGGGUUGAGAAUCGACGCCACGUCGAUGGCGGCAAUGACCGCGGCAGAGGCCCUUCCAACAAUCCCAAAGGGCACCAACCCAAGCGCAAAGUAACUACAUAACUUUAAGCGUAGGCCACACCGCGAACCAAGCUAAGCUAUCUUAACUCAGCUCGCGUAGCCGGGGGCAUCUAUUCACUCCUCACUUCACACCGCGAACUAGACCGAGCCAUCUGAUAUUGAAUAUAAAGAAUAUUAAGAUAUUGAACUAAUCCAACAAUCCCGCUAAGCAGUUAAAUAUGUCACCCUUCUGCCGCCUGUCAAGUAUUUUGU